UAUGUGAUCGUCUCUCGCAUAUCAAUAAGCGGAGGAAAAGAAACUAACAAGGAUUCCCCUAGUAACGGCGAGUGAAGCGGGAAGAGCUCAAAUUUGAAAUCUUAAAGGGUUUCCCUUUACGAAUUGUAGUUUAAAGAAGUGUUUUCUGUUGAGGUUUUGGUAAAAGUUCUUUGGAAUAGGACAUCAUAGAGGGUGAGAAUCCCGUAUUUGACCUUUACUUUCAACUUUGUGAUACACUUUCAAAGAGUCGGAUUGUUUGGGAAUGCAGUCCAAAAUGGGUGGUAAAUUUCAUCUAAAGCUAAAUAUUGGCGAGAGACCGAUAGCGAACAAGUACCGUGAGGGAAAGAUGAAAAGAACUUUGAAAAGAGAGUUAAACAGUACGUGAAAUUGUCAAAAGGGAAGCGUUUGACACCAGUGUUGUUUUUCUAGAAAAUCAAUUAAAGAACUGUUUAUGCUAAGUUGUUUAGACUUUAUCAGCUAACUGUUUAGUUUUGAGCUUUUCUUUAAUGCACUUUUCAGUUAACAAGUCAACAUCAAUUUCUUUUGCUGUAAAAAAGCUUGAGGAAGGUGGCUUGAGAUUCGUCUUAGGUGUUUAUAGCCUCUUGCCUAUGCAGUCGGAGAGAUUGAGGUCUGCAGCGUAGAUCCUUCGGGGCUAAAUGCAUUUGUGCUAAGUUAUAGCAUUUUAUAGACAACUUGUUGACUAUGAUUUGUCUUGUAGCUUACUCGCUUAUGUUAUUUUACCUACGCUUAGGAUGUUGACUGAUAUGUAGUCGUA
This 775-nucleotide ribosomal RNA is filed under the name uncultured Neocallimastigales. Its description in RNAcentral is "partial large subunit ribosomal RNA". It matches the Rfam family "Eukaryotic large subunit ribosomal RNA", at positions 24 to 644 of the family's 3401-position model. Lineage: Eukaryota; Fungi; Neocallimastigomycota; Neocallimastigomycetes; Neocallimastigales. The record is from RNAcentral.